RNAcentral lists this transfer RNA (67 nucleotides) under Parachaenichthys charcoti. Its description in RNAcentral is "tRNA-Ser". The record is from RNAcentral. Lineage: Eukaryota; Metazoa; Chordata; Actinopteri; Perciformes; Bathydraconidae.
GAGGGGGGCUCGCAGCCACGAGGACUGCUAAUCCCCGCCUCCUUGGUUGAACUCCAAGGCCCCCUCG